This 450-nucleotide ribosomal RNA is filed under the name uncultured bacterium. Its description in RNAcentral is "bacterial SSU rRNA". It matches the Rfam family "Bacterial small subunit ribosomal RNA", at positions 329 to 794 of the family's 1533-position model. The record is from RNAcentral.
GUCCAGACUCCUACGGGAGGCAGCAGUCGGGAAUAUUGCGCAAUGGAGGAAACCCUGACGCAGUGACGCCGCGUAUAGGAAGAAGGUUUUCGGAUUGUAAACUAUUUUCGUUAGGGAAGAGAAAGGACAGUACCUAAGGAGGAAGCUCCGGCUAACUACGUGCCAGCAGCCGCGGUAAUACGUAGGGAGCGAGCGUUAUCCGGAAUUAUUGGGUGUAAAGGGUGCGUAGACGGGAAAGCAAGUUAGUUGUGAAAUCCCCCGGCUUAACUGAGGAACUGCAACUAAAACUACUUUUCUUGAGUGCAGGAGAGGUAAGUGGAAUUCCUAGUGUAGCGGUGAAAUGCGUAGAUAUUAGGAGGAACACCAGUUGCGAAGGCGAUUCUCUGGACUGUAACUGACGCUGAGGCUCGAAAGCGUGGGGAGCAAACAGGAUUAGAUACCCCCGUACAU